Molecule: ribosomal RNA, 447 nt
Filed under: Cryptosporidium canis
Lineage: Eukaryota; Apicomplexa; Conoidasida; Eucoccidiorida; Cryptosporidiidae
Description: SSU rRNA
Rfam family: Eukaryotic small subunit ribosomal RNA
Source: RNAcentral
GUGACAAGAAAUAACAAUACAGGACUUUAACAGUUUUGUAAUUGGAAUGAGUUGAGUAUAAACCCCUUUACAAGUAUCAAUUGGAGGGCAAGUCUGGUGCCAGCAGCCGCGGUAAUUCCAGCUCCAAUAGCGUAUAUUAAAGUUGUUGCAGUUAAAAAGCUCGUAGUUGGAUUUCUGUUAAUAAUUUAUAUAUAAUAUUUAACAUAUUUAUAUAAUAUUAACAUAAUUCAUAUUACUAUUUAUAGUAUAUGAAAUUUUACUUUGAGAAAAUUAGAGUGCUUAAAGCAGGCUUUUGCCUUGAAUACUAGAGCAUGGAAUAAUAUUAAAGAUUUUUAUCUUUCUUAUUGGUUCUAAGAUAGAAAUAAUGAUUAAUAGGGACAGUUGGGGGCAUUUGUAUUUAACAGUUAGAGGUGAAAUUCUUAGAUUUGUUAAAGACAAACUAAUGCG